Molecule: ribosomal RNA, 239 nt
Filed under: uncultured bacterium
Lineage: Bacteria
Description: partial 16S ribosomal RNA
Rfam family: Bacterial small subunit ribosomal RNA
Source: RNAcentral
UGGGCGGACCGGGGUGAGGUAAUGUCUGGGAAACUGCCCGAUGGAGGGGGAUAACUACUGGAAACGGUAGCUAAUACCGCAUAACGUCGCAAGACCAAAGAGGGGGACCUUCGGGCCUCUUGCCAUCGGAUGUGCCCAGAUGGGAUUAGCUAGUAGGUGGGGUAACGGCUCACCUAGGCGACGAUCCCUAGCUGGUCUGAGAGGAUGACCAGCCACACUGGAACUGAGACACGGUCCAG